Molecule: unclassified non-coding RNA, 7351 nt
Filed under: Megachile rotundata (alfalfa leafcutting bee)
Lineage: Eukaryota; Metazoa; Arthropoda; Insecta; Hymenoptera; Megachilidae
Description: amyloid beta A4 precursor protein-binding family B member 2-like, transcript variant X12
Source: RNAcentral
UCGCAGGAACGCGGUCGCAUAGUCGUCCGGCAGCGCCGCGACGCCCUCGAGGCGAACUAGACGCUUUACGCUCUGUGCUCGCUAGCGAGACAUUUCGGCGUUUCUAACCUUGUCCCGACGCUGCGUGUCGCUCCUACAGUUCGUACAGUGUGUAACGAGUGGUGUCGUGCGUCCUCAUUUUUCCAUCUUCUUUCACGCGUUCGUUCUUUCUCACCUCUGUGCCGACCUGUUCCGAGUGAAUCCGCCAAUCAGUGAACAAAAGAAGUCAGCUGACGAGAGACGACUUUACCGCACAUCCUGUCAACGAAAAUACUCCUCGUUUACACGCUGCACCUCGUUUAAUGCAGUGGCCUUCUAGCGGUGUUAAACUUUAUGAAAACUUUGAUAUUGCAGAUCGAGGCGUUGCCAAGGUCACGAGGGAGGAGCUGAGGUCAUCGCUGCACCUAUGUUGUGCGGCGAACUCCUGAACGGUGGCUUCGUCAGUACCGGAGCGGUACCGGUGGUUUCCUACAGUCUCUUAGGAUUCUGGUUACCCGGCUGUAUACGUGCCACCAGUCCUACCUCGCUGAAUUCCUCGUAUUUGACCCUGUUGGCCGAGCUGCUGGCCAGGGGCCACCUGGACCUACGAAGCGAGCUGAUGGACCUCGCAAAGAGGAGCCAUCAGGCUCCUACCAACGGUGCGGUCGACCUUGACAUCGAUCUGCACGGCGACGACAUCGACGAGAACGUCUUCCUCGAAAACGGUCUGCUCUCCUUCGAGAAUCCCAACUACCACCUCGAUCCAGCACGUCUGGACGAUGCCCUGAACAGCAACGAGAACGGCAGUUCCCUGUACGACGAAUUAUAUCAAGAGCUAGUUGGAAAUGGCGGCAGAGGCGGCGAAGUAACCGGUGGCGAUAGCGGGGGUGGUGGCACAAGGGUUCAAGCACGCAGAACAUACGCCACAUUGGAUCUAGGUAGCAUGGGAGUGGACGUCACUCAGGGUCCUCUCACGCAAGAUUCCGUGACGGAUGAUGCGGCCGACAACACGGACAACCAUAACCUAGGGUACGGCAGCGAGGGUGUUGCGGAGUCCGCCCUCGUCGACGACACCCUCAACGGAAAUCCUCGAUCUUCACCGUCGUCUUCUUCGAUUCUGCCUCCCCUUCAGUCAGGAUCGACUUCGGACACGAUCGACGCUGAAAAUCUAACCGGUUCGAGAAAUUAUUGCGAGAAAGCGGAUAACGAAACGACAGACAUGGGCGGCGUUCCUCACGUGGAGGGUGGACUGAAUAGCGAGCUAUACGCGGUUCCUGUGAAACGAAGGCAACCGAAGGAUCAGAAGAACAAUGCGAGCCUGCAGAACAAUGCCCAGGAGAAACCGUCGGAAGUGGAUACGAACGAAUGCGAGGAUAAAGAUGAGAAUCUACCGCCCGGAUGGCAAAAACACGAGGGUGGGUGUCCAAGAAUUCGCGAGCCAGCCAAUUACGAGAACGGACCUUAUUACUGGCACGUCAAAAGCGGCAAUAUUCAGAGAGAGCCACCGGAGGCGCUUCCACACUCCAAGAGGGAGUCUCGUAGGAGCCUUAUCAAAGAUAAUGAUAGCAUAAACAAUUUCCACACUUUGAGCGGCAUGGUGAACACGGUGACCCGUAGCAACACCAGCUCGGCUUUGGAUCAGGAGUUGGAGAACAAGAGGAAGGUGGAAUUAGCUCUUAAACGAAGAAGCUACCCCGCCCGAGCAGAUUCAGAGGGCAGAGACAAACCGAUCCGCUUCGCCGUGCGUUCCCUCGGCUGGACAGAGAUCGCCGAGGAGGAUCUGACACCCGAAAGAAGCAGCAAAGCGGUGAACAAAUGCAUCGUGGACUUGUCACUCGGCAGAAACGAUCUUCUGGACGUGGUUGGUCGAUGGGGCGACGGCAAAGACUUGUUUAUGGAUCUCGACGAAGGUGCUUUGAAGCUGAUAGACCCGGAGAACCUAACCGUGCUCAACACACAACCGAUUCACACGGUCAGGGUGUGGGGUGUUGGUAGAGACCACUGCCGCGAAAGGGACUUCGCUUAUGUGGCAAGAGACCGAUCGACCCGGAAACACAUGUGCCAUGUGUUCCGUUGCGACAUACCGGCACGUACGAUCGCUAACACGCUUCGCGAUAUUUGCAAGAAGAUCAUGAUCGAACGGUCGCAACAUCAGAAUCUGGCGAAACCGGUGGACAUUAAUGGGAGAACGAGCCUCGCUACCAGACCUACUAACCUGCCUACUGAGCAUCGACGAUUUCAUAAAAACGGACAAGCACUAGUCACACAAUCUUUCCCAACGCCCAUGGAGGAGCCGAAGAAAGUGCUACGGGCACAGUAUCUUGGAUCCAUGCAAGUAUCUCAGGCGACUGGAAUGGAAGUUUUAAACGACGCGAUAGAUCACAUCGUAUCCAACACCCCUAUCAAUCAAUGGCGAAACGUGAACGUUGCUGUGGCACCCAGCAUGAUUUCUAUCCUUACACCAAAUGAGGAGAAACUUAUCACCGAGUGCCGAGUACGUUAUCUGUCGUUCCUCGGUAUCGGCCGCAACGUGAAACAAUGCGCGUUUAUAAUGCACACCGCGCAAGAUCUCUUCAUCGCACACGUCUUCAAUUGUGAGCCUAGCAGCGGAGCCCUUUGCAAAACCAUCGAAGCCGCUUGCAAGCUGAGGUACCAGAAAUGCUUAGACGCACAUCCUCAAGGCUUCAGAAACGCCAGCAGUCUGAACACUCCUAGCGGAAAAGGUCUUGGCGCUACCCUGAAGUCGUUGGUUGGUUCACUGACUGGACGUAGAAAUAAGCAGGGAACUGUGGCCGCUGCCUGCUGAGCGAGAGGUGAUCAGACACAGACAUCUGCAAUCGCCGCUGACCUUGAAAUACUUUAGCGGAUCGCCACCAAGCGCGUCCCUCAGGUCACUCCUUUCGCCGUCUCUGGACAACAGGCGUAUUCAGUUAGCCCGUUGGGAGAGCAACCCUUAAUAUGGAAAUAAAUACCAGCCGCAGUUCAAGCCAAGUAAGAAAGAAGCACGGAGGAACGCGAACAGGAAUUAUAUUCAUUAGGGAAGCGAGACGAGGAUGACCAGACCACACGAACUUCUAAACACGUAAACACGAAUAAUUAUAUAGGAGAGACACGCAUAGAGAGAUUACCACGCGACGAUACACUAUUAUAGUUAACACGCUAAAUAUACAGACACACACGGUGACACACACAGGCAGGUAACAGGGAGUUUAUUUUUUAUGGCGAAAUAAGUAGAAGAACUUGCACCUUGUGAGAGCGAGAAGACGACACGGCAAGCGCUGUACGCGACCGUCCUUUUAAAUCCAUGGGGAAUAAACAGACCGAGACGAGCUACCUACCGAUCUUGACACUCGCAAUGAACGGUACACACGUAUUGUCGUACGCACAAUCGCUGUGCAGUAACGCUAUCGCCUAUGCAAACACUCAUUCUCUGUUAACGUUGUACCGAAUCAUUCAUCGUCGCCAUGGACAGUUUCAUGAAUAAAGUUUCGUGAGAAAAACAAACUACAGAAACCGUCAGCGACUCGUCCAGAGAGUUUAUUCACCGUCACGACUACCUUUCUCCGACAACGUUUGCACGCGUGUUCACGGAAUAGUAAAAACGUACGCGUACACAACUAUAUUUACUCGCAGAUUCGUCAUUAAUCGCACGUGCACAGCAUCGAUCGCACCGUCACACGGUAGAGUUAGGGCGAAAUCGAGUUUAUUCGAUCAAACAUCGACGAUGAACAACACCGGAUCCAUCCAGUUAACAAACCGCUGGCUGGACGAUCGUUGACGAUGCCUAACGUCGAUCAGUAGAUUAGAAUGCGUGUACCAUCGUGUGCCGUUUUCCUUACCGUUCAUUUUCUACCGAUAGUUCUAGGCUGUUUUCCAAAUAUUCGACAACAACGGCAGCGAAUUGUACAGAGAAGAAAACCAAGAUAUUUCGUCCCUCGAUCCCUCCCGAUUAUUUUCGUACGAUAGCCUCGCGAUUAGACUACCUGACGAUGUAGUGAACCGACGUCGCACACAUGCUGUUCACCGGCGAGAUUGAUAAACGAUGCAUGCAACUCGUUUAUUCGAAUCGAUGUUUCGCGUGUUUUCGCUUGUUCGUGCAUGUGCUUCUCGCGGUUGCUUUUAACGGGACUUGUGGACUUGGGUGAAUGGAAUCAGGAUGACGUCUACGUUACCGAUACUUUGACGAUCGACAAGUCGCUAUUUCAUUUUUAUCUGUGUACUUUAGCUGGUGCUAAUCGCAGUUUUGAAAAUUACUCGUUUCGCAGCGUAUGUUGAAUAAAGUAUCAAAUAUGUUAAUAACAGAAUGACCGCUCGAUAAUUAACUGACAGUCAACUUAAUGUCAGAAGCUAGGCUUUAUGGGCUGAAACCCUUUUGCAGAAAGUUCCAAAGUACCUUCAAGUUCCGUAGUCCUAAAAUUCCAAUAUCACAUUUACCUGCCAGCUACUUAUCGAGCGGCCAGUAUACUGAUUAACACAUCCUCGACGUCCACAAUACUUUACCGUCCCAAAUAGCAAAUCCAAUGUAGCGAACAAGCGAAAAACCCAACUAUCUAGAACGUACCAAGGAAUUAGAAAGACGAGAGGAUCGUUAACCUAAUACGUGCACUGUCAGCAAGAAUUGUCCGGGGCGAGAAAUAUCUUGCUCGCAGGGCAACGGUCGUCCGUCGAGGACGGUCAUCGCGUCGUGGGAGCCAUCGUCAUUGCGAAAGAUACAAAGUUGUGCGGGACCCAGAACGAAGAAAUAUUUCUAAUGUAGCGUUUAAAUAAGACGGCUGGCAAGGUAGGAGAAAGCUUGCGUGAAGAGAGCAUGAGUGUACGUGUGUGUGGUUACAUAGACUGCAUGAUUACGAGGGUUGCCUCUCGCGACAAAUAUUUAUCUAGAUGAGGAUGCGUAACGGAGAAUAGAACCGCGAUGAUGGAUCAUUAUUUGUACAUAAAUACAUGUUACGAUCACCCGCCUUUCACCAUAAGGGACGGGAGAAAGCCUAUAUUGGGCUGAAUGUUAACUUGAAAGGGCACUUCCUAGGAUCCGUGCAUUCGUAGGAUUCUUUUGGAUAUUCAUGGGCGUAGUCAAGGAUGUCAAAUUUUAGUUGAGAUUCGUUUUGUAAGACUGAAUUUUUUUUAUUUAUGAAUCAUUGUCGGAUUUAAAAAUUUUUAAAUCUUCAAAUACCCAAAUUGUUAAUGGUAGUAAAUAUAAUUUUAAGAUGAGGUGAGAACCGGUAGUUCUCUUGGCUACGUCCAUGUGUUCCCUUUCGACUUUCACGCCGCUUCGAUCUUAUUUUCACCUGUGUGCAUCAUGUUGCGUUCCUUCCAUUUACCCGGUGAAUACACGGGUAGACUUGUCACGAACAAUAAACGAAAGGAAACGUCGCGCGACGAGGCCUCCCCUGCGACCCGCAACUCGAAUCUCCAACCCCGAAAUUUUACACGAACGAACCAGCGACGUUUCUUCUGCUAUCGAUAUGUCGUUGAUACAGUUUCAUUGCUUUGGUAUUCAUAUAUAUAUGUAUAUAUAAUAAAUAUAAUAUAUAUAUGAGUAUAAAUAUAAAUAAAUAUAAAUAUAAAUAAAUGAAUGAAUAAAUGAAUAUAUAUAUAGUUGUUGAAUUUGUAUUACCGUAAAGGUAUAAGGGCGAAUCGAGGGUGGUACGAGACAGCCUCGAGAGCGCGACGACAAAUGUGGUGUGGAUGUAAAUAAUUAUUAUUAAUUAUACGCUCGUAUAGAAAAUUAAGAGACUAAAGGGUGAAGGUUGAACAGUACGGAGGUCGAGGACACAUCGUUGCACAUCGUUGCGCGAUUAAAUUAAAACACACGCGAUUCAAAUACCCGUACACGCGAAAACGAGAGAGAGAACAUGUACACACACACAUGCAUACAGAUACACGAACACACGAUACACACGUAAAAAAUUGCGCGUAGCUUAACUGUCUCCUUAAUGUAGGUGUUGAAACGUCGCCGGAAAUGCGAGACGAAAGAGUACCCCCGAGAGGGUCGAAAAGAGGUGACAAGGAGGUGGAGGAGGGUAAAGGAGAAGGGAAGCCACUUGUAAACUGGACUAAUAGAAUAGUGCAAACCUAACUAUAUUUAACUGUGACAUGUAAUAUCCUUAACGAAAGCGAAAAACGAAAAAAAAUGCGAUCUACUGAUAGAAAAGAGUUGUUCUUGCACAAACACGAAUGCUUCAUUGAUAAUUAUAGUGUCUCUCUCUUUCUCUCUUUCUCUAUCUCUCUAUCUUCAGAAGUACAUACCUCUCUGUACCUUAUGGCAAUUCAAUAAUUAACCGACACAACAUAUGUUUCGGCAUCGAAGACGAAGAGAAAAUAUUAAUGAAAUGUGGAACGCUGAACCGCGCCGCGAACGAUUCUCGUCAUCGUUUUAAUUCGACCUCAUCGUUUGAGUAAUCGAUCACCGGAAAACACGCACCGAUCAUUGUUAAUCAUUAUUAUUAUUGUCACGAUCAUUAUCGUCGCGUUGAUACGGAGAAACGAGUGUCGAGAACUCGGCAUCGUCGUCUGCUCGAAUAAUGUUACUAGCAAAAUGAUCCUCAUCAUCGACUAGUUGAGAUAGAAGGAGAGGAAAACGAUUGUGUUCGCGCAAGAAAUUGCGCGGUCAAUUUUCUCGCAGUGAUAGGCAGAUGGUGAACGAAAAUAUUAAUAGCUGCAUUACUAGUUUAACUAUUAUAUUUCCAAAUGUCUUGAGUUCGUAUUGAAAAUUAUUAUCAAGCUUCUAAUUCAGCAAAGUUCUAAAUCUCUUAAUUUCCAAACCCUCAAAUUUAUAAAUUUUCAAACCCCAAAUUUUUUGAUUUUCUAAGAUUCUAUCUAAUUUGAAAAUUCUCGUAUUUUUAAAUGUUUUAAAUGAGUGAUUUUAUGCACAUCUGCCGAUCACUGAGACGAUGAAGAGCGAUCAACAUAUUUGUCGACGUCACACGCGAAAUGAGAAGGCCAACGAGAUUCUAUUUCGCGUUUUGAUCUUAAUUUUUUUCGAAAUAGAAUCUCACUCGUAUCUCGUGGCCGAAACAAGUUGCAACCUAUGAGGAGAGAAAUGAACGAGGCGUUUUGUAAUAUUCAACGUCCGUGUGUCGUUUUAGAAGAGCGUACGAAAGGACAAAGCACUUUGUAUGCACCCAACACCCUCCCUCUCUCCCAUUUGUUCAUGCCCAUUUAUAUCGCGUAGUUGGACCGGUCGAUAAUUAUAACGGACGUGAAAAUACUAUUAUAUAUAUAUACGUAUAUAUACAUAUUAUAUAUAUAUAAAUAUAUAUAUAAAAGCGAUAAGAAUGAAACUACUGUAACUACACCUGCCUCUUGUGAAUAAAUGCCUAUUUGUUUCUUUUCA